Molecule: non-coding RNA, 246 nt
Organism: Pelobates cultripes (western spadefoot toad)
Lineage: Eukaryota; Metazoa; Chordata; Amphibia; Anura; Pelobatidae
Source: the annotation of a GenBank genome assembly
UUGGCAACAAGAAGAAGGAUGGUUUGAGCAUACCCAAUACACAGGCCCCUUCCCAGUCCUGUGGUAACUCCGAAUAUGCUUUCUUACCACAAAUCCAGUACAAAUUUACUGGGGCUUUCCAACUAGAUGUAGCAGAUAGGUCAAACCAUACAUCCUUUAAAUUGGUAUAAUUUGCAAACGGAUUAGACGGUUCUGAGACAUUUGAAGCUGACCACCAAAUAGUAUCCUUGGUAUCGUCAUUAUAGG